This is a long non-coding RNA of Lagopus leucura (white-tailed ptarmigan), 189 nucleotides long. RefSeq lists it as uncharacterized. The record is from RefSeq and is a predicted model, not a curated record. NCBI's taxonomy places the organism in Eukaryota, Metazoa, Chordata, Aves, Galliformes, Phasianidae. The transcript is spliced from 3 exons.
AAAGAAAACAACAAACAUCAAAGGUCACGUUUUAAGUUUACAUCAUCCCAUCUUCCACAUUUGAACAUCUGCCUGCUAGACUGGCCAAGUCAGAAUCCACCAAUAUUCAGAAUACCAGAACUUGGGCUUCCUAGUAGGGACAGGUGCUGGAAUGAAUUCUGUGCUAAUGGGAACUCCUGAACUACUGGG